GACGAACGCUGGCGGCGCGCCUAACACAUGCAAGUCGAACGAGCGAGAGAGAGCUUGCUUUCUCAAGCGAGUGGCGAACGGGUGAGUAACGCGUGAGGAACCUGCCUCAAAGAGGGGGACAACAGUUGGAAACGACUGCUAAUACCGCAUAAGCCCACGACCCGGCAUCGGGUAGAGGGAAAAGGAGCAAUCCGCUUUGAGAUGGCCUCGCGUCCGAUUAGCUAGUUGGUGAGGUAACGGCCCACCAAGGCGACGAUCGGUAGCCGGACUGAGAGGUUGAACGGCCACAUUGGGACUGAGACACGGCACAGAAUCCUACGGGAGGCAGCAGUGGGGAAUAUUGCACAAUGGGGGAAACCCUGAUGCAGCGACGCCGCGUGGAGGAAGAAGGUAUUCGGAUUGUAAACUCCUGUUGUUGAGGAAGAUAAUGACGGUACUCAACAAGGAAGUGACGGCUAACUACGUG
RNAcentral lists this ribosomal RNA (466 nucleotides) under uncultured bacterium. RNAcentral's name for it is "partial 16S ribosomal RNA". It matches the Rfam family "Bacterial small subunit ribosomal RNA", at positions 28 to 507 of the family's 1533-position model. The record is from RNAcentral.